GACGAACGCUGGCGGCAUGCCUAAUACAUGCAAGUCGAGCGAACAGAUGAAGUGCUUGCACUUCUGACGUUAGCGGCGAACGGGUGAGUAACACGUAAGGAAUCUACCUAUAAGCGGGGGAUAACAUUCGGAAACGGGUGCUAAUACCGCAUAAUAUCUUCUUCCGCAUGGAAGAAGAUUGAAAGACGGCUCUGCUGGAACUUAUAGAUGACCUUGCGGUGCAUUAGUUAGUUGGUGGGGUAACGGGCUACCAAGACGAUGAUGCAUAACCGACCUGAGAGGGUGCUCGGCCACAUUGGGACUGAGACACGGACCAAACUCCUACGGGAGGAAGCAGUAGGGAAUCUUCCGCAAUGGGCGAAAGCCUGACGGAGCAAUGCCGCGUGAGUGAAGAAGGCCUUCGGGUCGUAAAACUCUGUUAUAAGAGAAGAACAAAUUGUAGAGUAACUGCUACAGUCUUGACGGUAUCUUAUCAGAAAGCCACGGCUAACUACGUGCCAGCAGCCGCCGUAA
This 513-nucleotide ribosomal RNA is filed under the name uncultured bacterium. RNAcentral's name for it is "partial 16S ribosomal RNA". It matches the Rfam family "Bacterial small subunit ribosomal RNA", at positions 28 to 523 of the family's 1533-position model. The record is from RNAcentral.